GUUUAACCACCGUUGCCCAUACGAUCUCCAAAGUUAAGCAAUGUCGAGCCUGGUCAGUGAAAUGGGUGACCGCUUGGGAAGACCAGGUGCUGUAAG
Non-coding RNA from Acanthosepion pharaonis, 96 nucleotides. Lineage: Eukaryota; Metazoa; Mollusca; Cephalopoda; Sepiida; Sepiidae. The record is from the annotation of a GenBank genome assembly.